CCCAAACGGCGAGCUCACGGCCACGGCGGCCGCGGCGGCGGCCAGCGGCCCGGGCAGCAGGCGCGGCGCCAGCGGCUUGGACGGCUCCUUGGAGAAGACCAGCUUCACCUGCAGGGCGGGGAGAAAGAAGAGCAGGAACUGACAAAUGAAAUCCUCCAAGAAAGGCUCCACUCUACCUGGACGCAGAAGUGACACUCACCCCCAGCGGAUGCGCAGCCUUCUGCAGUUUGUUGUAAGGGCUGUAUUUAGGUUUCGGGGGCUUCCCAGCAGCUCUGUCUUUGUGCCUUCUACUGCUAAUGUGCUAUUAAAAGCAAUGAAAAGGGACAGCUUUAAAGAAAUCAUCCUCCAAACCCCUCAAAAGUAUUGUUUUAACCUGGGGAAGGAUAUUAAUUAUUUCAUGCAAGUUGCAGAAAGACAGAAAUAAAAGAGCAUGCACUUUUGUCCUUG
Long non-coding RNA from Bubalus bubalis (water buffalo), 447 nucleotides. RefSeq lists it as uncharacterized. NCBI's taxonomy places the organism in Eukaryota, Metazoa, Chordata, Mammalia, Artiodactyla, Bovidae. The record is from RefSeq and is a predicted model, not a curated record. The transcript has 2 exons.